RNAcentral lists this ribosomal RNA (396 nucleotides) under uncultured bacterium. RNAcentral's name for it is "partial 16S ribosomal RNA". It matches the Rfam family "Bacterial small subunit ribosomal RNA", at positions 523 to 918 of the family's 1533-position model. The record is from RNAcentral.
AUACGUAGGGAGCGAGCGUUGUCCGGAAUUACUGGGCGUAAAGCGCGCGUAGGUGGUUCAGUCAGUCAGAUGUGAAAGCCCCGGGCUCAACCUGGGAACUGCACCUGAUACUGCUGAGCUAGAGUACGGUAGAGGGCAGUGGAAUUUCCGGUGUAGCGGUGAAAUGCGUAGAGAUCGGAAGGAACACCAGUGGCGAAGGCGACUGCCUGGACUGAUACUGACACUGAGGUGCGAAAGCGUGGGUAGCAAACAGGAUUAGAUACCCUGGUAGUCCACGCCGUAAACGAUGUCAACUAGCCGUUGGGGGACUUGAUCCUUUAGUGGCGAAGCUAACGCGAUAAGUUGACCGCCUGGGGAGUACGGCCGCAAGGUUAAAACUCAAAUGAAUUGACGGGG